RNAcentral lists this ribosomal RNA (253 nucleotides) under uncultured bacterium. RNAcentral describes it as "partial 16S ribosomal RNA". It matches the Rfam family "Bacterial small subunit ribosomal RNA", at positions 524 to 776 of the family's 1533-position model. The record is from RNAcentral.
UACGUAGGUGGCGAGCGUUAUCCGGAAUGAUUGGGCGUAAAGGGUGCGUAGGCGGUCCGGAAAGUCAGCGGUGAAAUACCGGGGCUCAACCCCGGGGCUGCCGUUGAAACCGGAGCGCUAGAAUUCCGAUGCCGUCGGAGGAAUGUGUGGUGUAGCGGUGAAAUGCAUAGAUAUCACACAGAACACCGAUUGCGAAGGCAUCUGACGAAUCGGAGAUUGACGCUGAUGCACGAAAGCGUGGGUAUCGAACAGG